RNAcentral lists this ribosomal RNA (254 nucleotides) under uncultured bacterium. RNAcentral's name for it is "partial 16S ribosomal RNA". It matches the Rfam family "Bacterial small subunit ribosomal RNA", at positions 524 to 777 of the family's 1533-position model. The record is from RNAcentral.
GACGAACCGAGCGAACGUUGUUCGGAAUCACUGGGCUUAAAGGGCGCGUAGGCGGGCUGUCAAGUUUGGGGUGAAAUCCCGCGGCUCAACCGUGGAACUGCCUCAAAUACUGACGGUCUCGAGGGAGGUAGGGGCGAGCGGAACUGAUGGUGGAGCGGUGAAAUGCGUUGAUAUCAUCAGGAACUCCGGUGGCGAAGGCGGCUCGCUGGACCUUUUCUGACGCUGAGGCGCGAAAGCUAGGGGAGCAAACGGGG